GUAGAAUGUGGAAAUUCCUCAGGCUGCAGGGGUCAGGCAGGAGGGUUGCAUUUGUCUUGCAUCAGCAAGAAUCAAGAGGUUGGAAGAAGUGAGAGGGAAUUCUGACCAUGGAAAACCUCAACCACAGAUGAGGAGCCACAGCUCCGGAGCAAGCCCCAGCCCCAGCCCGGCCAUACCAGGGCGUCCGUGUGAAGGAGCCAGUGAAGGAACUGCUGAGGAGGAAGCGAGGCCACGCCAGCAGCGGGGCAGCACCUGCACCUACGGCGGUGGUGCUGCCCCAUCAGCCCCUGGCGACCUACACCACAGUGGGUUCUUCCUGCCUGGACAUGGAAGGCUCUGUGUCUGCAGUGACAGAGGAGGGUGCCCUGUGUGCCGGCUGGCUCUCCCAGCCCACCCCGGCCACCCUCCAGCCCCUGGCCCCAUGGACACCUUACACCGAGUAUGUGCCCCAUGAAGCUGUCAGCUGCCCCUACUCAGCUGACAUGUAUGUGCAGCCCGUGUGCCCCAGCUACACGGUGGUGGGGCCCUCCUCAGUGUUGACCUAUGCCUCUCCGCCACUCAUCACCAAUGUCACGACAAGAAGCUCCGCCACGCCCGCAGUGGGGCCCCCGCUG
RNAcentral lists this small RNA (614 nucleotides) under Pongo abelii (Sumatran orangutan). RNAcentral describes it as "processed transcript". The record is from RNAcentral. Lineage: Eukaryota; Metazoa; Chordata; Mammalia; Primates; Hominidae.